This 495-nucleotide ribosomal RNA is filed under the name uncultured bacterium. RNAcentral's name for it is "partial 16S ribosomal RNA". It matches the Rfam family "Bacterial small subunit ribosomal RNA", at positions 28 to 507 of the family's 1533-position model. The record is from RNAcentral.
GAUGAACGCUGGCGGCGUGCCUAAUACAUGCAAGUAGAACGCUGAAGGAGGAGCUUGCUCUUCUGGAUGAGUUGCGAACGGGUGAGUAACGCGUAGGUAACCUGCCUGGUAGCGGGGGAUAACUAUUGGAAACGAUAGCUAAUACCGCAUGACAACAGUUAUUGCAUGAUAACUGUUUAAAAGGGGCAACUGCUCCACUACCAGAUGGACCUGCGUUGUAUUAGCUAGUUGGUGAGGUAACGGCUCACCAAGGCGACGAUACAUAGCCGACCUGAGAGGGGGAUCGGCCACACUGGGACUGAGACACGGCCCAGACUCCUACGGGAGGCAGCCGUAGGGAAUCUUCGGCAAUGGACGGAAGUCUGACCGAGCAACGCCGCGUGAGUGAAGAAGGUUUUCGGAUCGUAAAGCUCUGUUGUAAGAGAAGAACGAGUGUGAGAGUGGAAAGUUCACACUGUGACGGUAUCUUACCAGAAAGGGACGGCUAACUACGUG